Molecule: ribosomal RNA, 459 nt
Filed under: uncultured bacterium
Lineage: Bacteria
Description: partial 16S ribosomal RNA
Rfam family: Bacterial small subunit ribosomal RNA
Source: RNAcentral
CCUACGGGAGGCUGCAGUGAGGAAUAUUGGUCAAUGGGCGGGAGCCUGAACCAGCCAAGCCGCGUGAGGGAAGAAGGUACAGCGUAUCGUAAACCUCUUUUGUCAGGGAACAAAGGCGGGGACUAGUCCCCGGAUGAGGGUACCUGAAGAAAAAGCAUCGGCUAACUCCGUGCCAGCAGCAGCGGUAAUACGGAGGAUGCGAGCUUUAUCCGGAUUUAUUGGGUUUAAAGGGUGCGCAGGCGGCCUGUUAAGUCAGCGGGAAAAGCCCGGGGCUCAACCCCGGCGAGCCGUUGAAACUGGCGGGCUGGAGUUGGAGAGAAGUACGCGGAAUGCGCGGUGUAGCGGUGAAAUGCUUAGAUAUCGCGCAGAACCCCGAUUGCGAAGGCAGCGUACCGGCUCCACACUGACGCUGAGGCACGAAAGCGUGGGUAUCGAACAGGAUUAGAUACCCCGGUAGUC